RNAcentral lists this ribosomal RNA (300 nucleotides) under Escherichia coli. Its description in RNAcentral is "partial 16S ribosomal RNA". It matches the Rfam family "Bacterial small subunit ribosomal RNA", at positions 1 to 299 of the family's 1533-position model. The record is from RNAcentral. RNAcentral also lists the same sequence under 1 other name. Lineage: Bacteria; Pseudomonadati; Pseudomonadota; Gammaproteobacteria; Enterobacterales; Enterobacteriaceae.
AAAUUGAAGAGUUUGAUCAUGGCUCAGAUUGAACGCUGGCGGCAGGCCUAACACAUGCAAGUCGAGCGGUAGCACAGAGAGCUUGCUCUCGGGUGACGAGCGGCGGACGGGUGAGUAAUGUCUGGGAAACUGCCUGAUGGAGGGGGAUAACUACUGGAAACGGUAGCUAAUACCGCAUAAUGUCGCAAGACCAAAGUGGGGGACCUUCGGGCCUCAUGCCAUCAGAUGUGCCCAGAUGGGAUUAGCUAGUAGGUGGGGUAACGGCUCACCUAGGCGACGAUCCCUAGCUGGUCUGAGAGG